UGGUGGUGAAUUUGUGGAGACUUU
RNAcentral lists this non-coding RNA (24 nucleotides) under Arabidopsis thaliana (thale cress). Lineage: Eukaryota; Viridiplantae; Streptophyta; Magnoliopsida; Brassicales; Brassicaceae. The record is from RNAcentral.